Long non-coding RNA from Oreochromis aureus, 455 nucleotides. RefSeq lists it as uncharacterized. The record is from RefSeq and is a predicted model, not a curated record. The transcript has 3 exons. Lineage: Eukaryota; Metazoa; Chordata; Actinopteri; Cichliformes; Cichlidae.
GGAUAUCCUCCGCACUUUCAACAAGAAUUUCCACCUCCAACUAUGGCCUUCACAUCAGACAUCCGAGCUGCCUCUGACCCUCUAGGUUUACCAGGCUGUUGCUGUCCAGGUGAUGAAAACUGAUUGUGAUGUCUCAGUACAGUGACACACAGCAAAGUACACCGAGAAUAAAGACAGCGAUGACAUCAGCUGCAGGACCUUCUAUGGAGGACUCGUCGUCUCCAGUGGUUCAGCCUGGAGCAGUCUCAUGAUGACAUCCUACACUUAGCCUAUAACCAAGUAAUGUAGACAUUGAUGGUCAUCUGGUGUGCCCUGAAGCCACGCAGACUUACUUGCAUUCCCGGUGUCCCUGCAGGUUUUAGAUCUCACCUUGGGUCAACACACCUGAAUCACAUGAUUAGUUCGUUACCAGGCCUCUGGAGAACUUCAGGACAUGUUGAGGAGCUAAUUUAGCC